CAGCAGUAGGGAUCUUCCGCAAUGGACGAAAGUCUGACGGAGCAACGCCGCGUGAGUGAUGAAGGUUUUCGGAUCGUAAAACUCUGUUAUUAGGGAAGAACAAAUGUGUAAGUAACUGUGCACAUCUUGACGGUACCUAAUCAGAAAGCCACGGCUAACUACGUGCCAGCAGCCGCGGUAAUACGUAGGUGGCAAGCGUUAUCCGGAAUUAUUGGGCGUAAAGCGCGCGUAGGCGGUUUCUUAAGUCUGAUGUGAAAGCCCACGGCUCAACCGUGGAGGGUCAUUGGAAACUGGGAAACUUGAGUACAGAAGAGGAAAGUGGAAUUCCAUGUGUAGCGGUGAAAUGCGCAGAGAUAUGGAGGAACACCAGUGGCGAAGGCGACUUUCUGGUCUGUAACUGACGCUGAUGUGCGAAAGCGUGGGGAUCAAACAGGAUUAGAUACCCUGGUAGUCCACGCCGUAAACGAUGAGUGCUAAGUGUUAGGGGGUUUCCGCCCCUUAGUGCUGCAGCUAACGCAUUAAGCACUCCGCCUGGGGAGUACGACCGCAAGGUUGAAACUCAAAGGAAUUGACGGGGCCCGGG
Molecule: ribosomal RNA, 583 nt
Filed under: Staphylococcus sp.
Lineage: Bacteria; Bacillati; Bacillota; Bacilli; Caryophanales; Staphylococcaceae
Description: bacterial SSU rRNA
Rfam family: Bacterial small subunit ribosomal RNA
Source: RNAcentral